Regulatory RNA element from Terrisporobacter sp., 110 nucleotides. It matches the Rfam family "SAM riboswitch aptamer (S box leader)". From Rfam's summary of the family: The SAM riboswitch is found upstream of a number of genes which code for proteins involved in methionine or cysteine biosynthesis in Gram-positive bacteria. The SAM riboswitch acts at the level of transcription termination control. Lineage: Bacteria; Bacillati; Bacillota; Clostridia; Peptostreptococcales; Peptostreptococcaceae. The record is from Rfam.
ACCUUAUCAAGAGAGGCGGAGGGACAGGCCCUAUGAAGCCCAGCAACCACUUCCAAUAUUUGGGGGACGGUGCUAAAUCCUACUUAACGGAAACGUUAGAGAGAUGAGGU